GGAGCAAUCCGCAAGUACAGUGGCGCACGGGUGAGUAACACGUGGAUAACCUGCCCUGGAGUGGGGGAUAACAUCUCGAAAGGGGUGCUAAUACCGCAUAACACUUUAGCUGGGAGGCAGAGGUUAAAAGGAGCGAUCUGCUCCGGGAGGGGUCCGCGGCUGAUUAGCUAGUAGGUGGGGUAAGAGCCCACCUAGGCGACGAUCAGUAGCCGUCCUGAGAGGGAGCACGGCCACACUGGAACUGAGACACGGUCCAGACUCCUACGGGAGGCAGCAGUGGGGAAUUUUUGGCAAUGGGGGAAACCCUGACCAAGCAACGCCGCGUGGGUGAUGAAGUAUUUUGGUACGUAAAACCCUUUCGGCAGGGACGAAGCGAGUGACGGUACCUGCGGAAGAAGCUCCGGCCAACUCCGUGCCAGCAGCCGCGGUAAUACGGGGGGAGCAAGCGUUGUUCGGAAUUACUGGGCGUAAAGGGCGCGUAGGCGGCCGGACAAGUAAGUGGUGAAAUCCCCGGGCUCAACUUGGGGCCUGCCAUUUAAACUGUCUGGCUGGAGUGCAGGAGAUGGCAGCGGAAUUCCUGGUGUAGCGGUGAAAUGCGUAUAGAUCAAGAGGAACACCGGCGGCGAAGGCGGCUGCCUGGACUGCGACUGACGCUGAGGCGCGAAAGCUAGGGGAGCAAACAGGAUUAGAUACCCUGGUAGUCCUAGCCCUAAACGAUGGAUACUUGCUGUGGGGGAGUCAAAUCCUCUGUGGCGGCGCUAACGCAUUAAGUAUCCCGCCUGGGGAGUACGGUCGCAAGGCUGAAACUCAAAGGAAUUGACGGGGGCCCGCACAAGCGGUGGAGUAUGUGGUUCAAUUCGACGCAACGCGAAGAACCUUACCUGGGCUUGAACUGGAGAAGAAGUUGGCAGAGAUGUCAAUGUCCUUUACCGGACUUCUCUAGAGGUGCUGCAUGGCUGUCGUCACCUCGUGUCGUGAGAUGUCGGGUUAAGUCCCGCAACGAGCGCAACCCUUGUUCCUAGUUGCUAACG
Molecule: ribosomal RNA, 1031 nt
Filed under: uncultured Acidobacterium sp.
Lineage: Bacteria; Pseudomonadati; Acidobacteriota; Terriglobia; Terriglobales; Acidobacteriaceae
Description: bacterial SSU rRNA
Rfam family: Bacterial small subunit ribosomal RNA
Source: RNAcentral